UCUCCAUGGCAACCACGGUUCGGGAGGGAGCGCCCCCUUGCCUACCUCCUGAACCGCAGAGAGGAACGUUCAGCACGCUAGAUGCUUUCUGGGAGUCGUAGUCGGCAAGGCGCCCCGCGUGUGCAAGCGCAGCACCCCCCUUUAGAGUCUCCGCGCGGGUCAGAGGAUUGGGACCUGAGGCACGUUAGAAAAUGUAGCGAGAAAAGAGUAACAGAAAGGCGAGACAUCGAGAUUCUAGCGACCGACCCCAGUACAAAGCGGACAUCCCUGUGCUAUGUUCUUGCCAUCUCCAACAUCUUGGAGUCUUUACCCUCGGGGCAUCACACAUUGCCCUCUUGUGGUACAGGGAGGAAAAGUCUCCCAAAGGCUAAGAUGAAGAAAACUACAAAACAGCAUUGUGGCCCGCCAUUACUGCCUACUUUAAAGCAUCCAAUCAAAAUGCAGGCAGGCAUAUAUGGGAAACAAAAAUGUAUAAAGGCUUCAAUCCUAUAACAUUGGGAGCUCUGGCCUUUGAAUGCAGAGCCUGAUGACCAGUACAACAGACCGCUUCCUGAUAAAAGAA
This is a long non-coding RNA of Mesocricetus auratus (golden hamster), 562 nucleotides long. RefSeq lists it as uncharacterized. The record is from RefSeq and is a predicted model, not a curated record. The transcript is spliced from 4 exons. NCBI's taxonomy places the organism in Eukaryota, Metazoa, Chordata, Mammalia, Rodentia, Cricetidae.